Molecule: ribosomal RNA, 310 nt
Filed under: Enterococcus faecalis
Lineage: Bacteria; Bacillati; Bacillota; Bacilli; Lactobacillales; Enterococcaceae
Description: partial 23S ribosomal RNA
Rfam family: Bacterial large subunit ribosomal RNA
Source: RNAcentral
GUAGUGGUAGGAGAGCGUUCUAAGGGCGUUGAAGGUCGAUCGUGAGGACGGCUGGAGCGCUUAGAAGUGAGAAUGCCGGUAUGAGUAGCGAAAGACAGGUGAGAAUCCUGUCCACCGUAUGACUAAGGUUUCCUGGGGAAGGCUCGUCCGCCCAGGGUUAGUCGGGACCUAAGCCGAGGCCGAUAGGCGUAGGCGAUGGACAACAGGUUGAUAUUCCUGUACCAGUUGUUUUUGUUUGAGCAAUGGAGGGACGCAGUAGGCUAAGGAAUGCAUGCGAUUGGAAGUGCAUGUCCAAGCAAUGAGUCUUGAG